Molecule: ribosomal RNA, 254 nt
Filed under: uncultured bacterium
Lineage: Bacteria
Description: partial 16S ribosomal RNA
Rfam family: Bacterial small subunit ribosomal RNA
Source: RNAcentral
UACGUAGGGACCAAGCGUUGUUCGGAUUUACUGGGCGUAAAGGGCGCGUAGGCGGCAAAUUAAGUCAGCUGUGAAAUCUCCGAGCUUAACUCGGAACUGUCAGCUGAUACUGAUGUGCUAGAGUGCGGAAGGGGCAAUCGGAAUUCUUGGUGUAGCGGUGAAAUGCGUAGAUAUCAAGAGGAACACCUGAGGUGAAGACGGGUUGCUGGGCCGACACUGACGCGGAGUGCGCGAAAGCCAGGGGAGCAAACGGG